Molecule: ribosomal RNA, 218 nt
Filed under: uncultured bacterium
Lineage: Bacteria
Description: partial 16S ribosomal RNA
Rfam family: Bacterial small subunit ribosomal RNA
Source: RNAcentral
CCGUAGCCUCUUAGCGGGGGGAGUAACUAUUGGAAACGAUAGCUAAUACCGCAUAAAAGUCGACAUUGCAUGAUGUUGACUUGAAAGGUGCAAUUGCAUCACUAAGAGAUGGACCUGCGUUGUAUUAGCUAGUUGGUGAGGUAACGGCUCACCAAGGCGACGAUACAUAGCCGACCUGAGAGGGUGAUCGGCCACACUGGGACUGAGACACGGCCCAG